Molecule: ribosomal RNA, 253 nt
Filed under: uncultured bacterium
Lineage: Bacteria
Description: partial 16S ribosomal RNA
Rfam family: Bacterial small subunit ribosomal RNA
Source: RNAcentral
UACGUAGGGUGCGAGCGUUAAUCGGAAUUACUGGGCGUAAAGCGUGCGCAGGCGGCGCGUUAAGACAGGUGUGAAAGCCCCGAGCUUAACUUGGGAAUUGCGCUUGUGACUGGCGUGCUGGAGUGUGGCAGAGGGAGGUGGAAUUCCACGUGUAGCAGUGAAAUGCGUAGAGAUGUGGAGGAACACCGAUGGCGAAGGCAGCCUCCUGGGCCAGCACUGACGCUCAUGCUCGAAAGCGUGGGGAGCAAACAGG